Molecule: ribosomal RNA, 326 nt
Filed under: uncultured eukaryote
Lineage: Eukaryota
Description: partial 18S ribosomal RNA
Rfam family: Eukaryotic small subunit ribosomal RNA
Source: RNAcentral
CCCUUAGAUGUUCUGGGCCGCACGCGCGCUACACUGACGAAUGCAACGAGCUUAUAACCUUGGCCGAAAGGUCUGGGUAAUCUCCAAAUUUCGUCGUGAUGGGGAUAGAUUAUUGCAAUUAUUAAUCUUCAACGAGGAAUGCCUAGUAAGCGCAAGUCAUCAGCUUGCGUUGAUUACGUCCCUGCCCUUUGUACACACCGCCCGUCGCUACUACUGAUUGGAUGUUUAAGCGAGGUUCUCGAACUGCUAGCGACUUAGCUUCGGUGAGGUCGCAGUGUGGGAAGUGAACCUGGCUUUGGUGUCUAGAGGAAGUAAAAGUCGUAACA